RNAcentral lists this ribosomal RNA (253 nucleotides) under uncultured bacterium. RNAcentral describes it as "partial 16S ribosomal RNA". It matches the Rfam family "Bacterial small subunit ribosomal RNA", at positions 524 to 776 of the family's 1533-position model. The record is from RNAcentral.
UACGGAGGGUGCAAGCGUUAUCCGGAUUCACUGGGUUUAAAGGGUGCGUAGGUGGGUUGGUAAGUCAGUGGUGAAAUCUCCGAGCUUAACUCGGAAACUGCCAUUGAUACUAUCAAUCUUGAAUCAUCUGGAGGUAAGCGGAAUAUGUCAUGUAGCGGUGAAAUGCUUAGAUAUGACAUAGAACACCCAUUGCGAAGGCAGCUUACUACACAAUGAUUGACGCUGAGGCACGAAAGCGUGGGGAUCAAACAGG